This 70-nucleotide transfer RNA is filed under the name bovine gut metagenome. It matches the Rfam family "tRNA". From Rfam's summary of the family: Transfer RNA (tRNA) molecules are approximately 80 nucleotides in length. The record is from RNAcentral.
ACCUUUAGCUCAGUUGGUAGAGCAACUGACUCUUAAUCAGUGGGUCGCGGGUUCGAGUCCCUCAAGGUCC